This 229-nucleotide ribosomal RNA is filed under the name uncultured bacterium. RNAcentral describes it as "partial 16S ribosomal RNA". It matches the Rfam family "Bacterial small subunit ribosomal RNA", at positions 57 to 305 of the family's 1533-position model. The record is from RNAcentral.
GCAAGUCGAGCGAGAAAGGCCUUCGGGUCGAGUAAAGCGGCGGACGGGUUAGUAACGCGUGGGAAUGUACCCUUUUCUACGGAAUAGCCAUUGGAAACGAUGAGUAAUACCGUAUACGCCCUUUGGGGGAAAGAUUUAUCGGAGAAGGAUCAGCCCGCGUUAGAUUAGAUAGUUGGUGGGGUAAUGGCCUACCAAGUCUACGAUCUAUAGCUGGUUUUAGAGGAUGAUC